GCGCCGAUAGUCCAGUGGUUCAGGAUUUUCCCUUCCCACUUAUACCGACAGGGAGAGACCCGGGUUCGAACCCCGGUCGGCGCA
Penicillium ucsense is the source of this 84-nucleotide non-coding RNA. The record is from the annotation of a GenBank genome assembly. NCBI's taxonomy places the organism in Eukaryota, Fungi, Ascomycota, Eurotiomycetes, Eurotiales, Aspergillaceae.